UAAGGAUCACUCCCCUGGGUGAUGUGGGAUGUUAUAAAUUUGUUAUAUGUAAAAUGUACCUUUUUUUAUUAUAAAAUCUAUUCAAUUUUUUUUUCUAUUCCAUUUUUAAACUUAUAUGGAUGGGUACAUUCUUUUUUCUUUGACUUGAAAAUGUAUUCAUGUCAAGUUUAAUCAAAGAAAUUUACUAAUGUUAUUAAGCCUAAUAUUUUUUUUCAUUGUUGUGAUUUUGAAGAAUGUACCCAUGUUUUGGUACAAUAAUUUUUUGAUUAAUUUAGAUGAAUGUUGUUACAUCCCACAUCGCCUAAGGAAAUGGAUCAUGUAAGCCUUUGUAUAUUCUCAUUUCUAUCUAGCACGAGACAUUUUAGGACCUCACUAGCUUCGGGGUUCCGUAGGAACUCCAAAGUUAAGCGAGCUCAGGCGAGAGCAUUCUCAAGAUGGGUGACCCACUAGGAAGUUCUCGUGUGAGUUCCUAAAAACAAAACCAUGAAGGCGUGGUAGGGGCCCAAAACGGAUAAUAUCGUGCUACGGUGCAGUCGAGUCCGAGAUGUGGUGGGGGCCCAGGCCGAGAUGUGACAAAUAUACCCAUGUUUAUACACACACACACACACACACAAUAGUAUAAUUUAUAUUUUAAUAUUUUUAAUCGCUCAAAUUAUGAUUUUUUAUUUAAAAUCUCAUUAAUAUAAACAACUAUAAAUUUCAAUUUUUAAUUACAAAAUAUAGUAAUAUACAUAAAAAUAAAUUAUCACAUUAAUUUCAGGAAUUUCGAUAAAAAAUUAAAAACCAAUAAGAUUUCAAUUAAAGAAUAUUCAUAACCAGAAACAGCAUCCAAAGUAUCCUUUUACUUUAUUUGAGGAAAAGUUAGUUUAUGUGCAUUAGUUUUUUCUUUGCCCCGAUACUUUGACAUGCUUUGUCAAGCAACUACGUUUCUCUUGAUUGCUAAGCUCAGAGGAAAUGUCAUGUCCCAAGAGUUGAAUAUCAGAGUGCGCAACGAACGAGACUAAAAAAAUAAUAGGAAUUAUUAUUAAACAAACGAGAAUGCCAGAACGGCUACAAAACCUUAAGAGACUACAUUUUGAAUAACUUAUUCUAAAUUGAAUAACAAGCAUGCUAUUUAUAAUAAACUAACCCUAACCUAAAAAGGUAAGAAACCGAAACUCUAAUGUUAACGGGCUAAGCCCAGAAAACCAAAUAUUCAAAUAAACUAAAAUCCUAAUAUUUUCCAACACCCCCCCCCCGGUCAAACUCAUGACGGUAUACAACAUGGGUUUGCAAACAAGCAGAUGCGGCCUGGCUCCGUUUGACGGACUGGCAGGCAUGCAAACUUGACUUGACUUGACUUAACUUGACUUGAUUGGCGAACUUGACUUGGUUGGCGAACUUGACUUGACUGGCAAACUGGCAAACUGAUUCUUGAUUUUUGACUUGAUUCUUAAUUCUGACUGGCAAACUAGUUCUGGUUCAAAUUGGCUAGUGUUGAGAGUAUGGAAAGAACCCGUCUAUAAACGGACGAGACUUUCAUAUCUCAAUUAUAGCAACGAACAAAAAAACACAAAUACUAUCACUCGACUGGUCACAAUUCAACACUUGAGUGACAGUCACAAAACAAUUCCAAAGAGUAUGUGGGCCUAAAACAAACGUAAACCAUAUGUUUUUUCUUUUGCCCGUGCGGGGGCCUCAAAAACUCCAAACAAUUUUUUCUUUUUCCUUCUUUUUUCUCUCUUAUUCUGUUUUUUUUUUCUUUUUCUUUCAUUUUGUUUCUAGACUGGCAGAUACAAACGCCCAGAUUGUAACUGGAUCUAGUACAAGUUCAUGGGAUCUAGGCUUGCGAAGAUGGUACGACAAGGGUGCAGCUUCGGUGGUUUUGACAGGUGACAACAGGGAAAUCAUGGAUGCAGAGCAACAUUGGCAGGUCAGGUACUGGUGCGGGUCGAGCGAGGGUUGAUUAAGCGACAUGGUAGUGAUGCGGAGAUGCGAGUUGUUGCAGCAGCGGAGGAGGAUCAUGCAGGUGAUGGUGGGUGCGGGAAGCAAGUGGUGCAACGAUGGCCUAUUGCGGAAUGGUUCACAUAGAGACGACGAGGGUAGACCUACGAAGGCUGGUGGCUGGUGUUUCAGGUAUGCAGGGAUCUGAGGUGGUGCGACUUCAGAGCAAACAUGUUCAAUUUUUUUCUUUUCAAAACUAACACUGAAAACUAAUAUCAAACAAACAACAACAACAUGGAUACCUAUUAAGAACAGAUUAAAUCCUGAAAGAUUAAACCUGCUCUGAUACCAAGUUGAAUAUCAGAGUGUGCAACGAACGAGACUAAAAAAAUAAUAGGAAUUAUUAUUAAACAAAUGAGAAUGUCGAAACGGCUACAAAACCCUAAGAGACUACAUUGUGAAUAACUUAUUCUAAACUGAAUAACAAGCAUGCUAUUUAUAAUAAACUAACCCUAACCUAAAAACGUAAGAAACCAAAACCCUAAUGUUAACGGGCUAAGCCCAGAAAACCAAAUAUUCAAAUAAAAUAAAAUCCUAAUAUUUUCCAACACCAAGGAGACUGAAACUUAGUUUAGAUGGUGUGGCUUGCCAACACCUUCAAUACUGUCACUUGGAAACAUGUCUACAGAGAGGUCAACUUUUUUCGCGAAUGCUUUUACAAGUUGUGGCCUGAGCUUCCAGAAUUAUCAUAUUUGGGAUCUUUCUUUGCCUUCAAAAGCUUGGAAUGUGUUUUUCUUUGAUUGUAUUGAAACUGAUUUUACUCUUAAUUUCUCUUUCUAAUGCAUUCUCUUUUCUUGAGCAAAAAUAUAAAACGAUGUUGCUAGUGUGUCGUGAUAGGUUCAAUCAGCAUAAUUGGUAAAAUAUGAAAAAUGUCUGAUACAUGAAGAAUACACACAUAUAUAUUAUAGGAAAACAAACAAAAAUGACUCAUUUUAUUAAUUUUAUGAUUAAAAUAAGACAAAUCGGUCAUACAUAAACCAUGCUAAUCAUGCACAAAAGUGAAAUGAUGAAAAUACUUAGAUAUAAAUUGUAAAAACUCACAGGUGAUGACGUGAGCUCUGGAUGUUUGGGUUGAGCUUAGAUAUGUGAGCAUAUUAUGUAGGUCAUGUACAUAUUGUGUACAUAUAGUGUACAUAGUGCGUAUUUUUAACUCAAUCAUUACGCAAAACGAGAUUUCUCCUUCUCCAUCACUACCAAUUUAUCCUUCUCCGUCAUAGAUCCUACUCCCGACACCUCUGAAACCUCAAAGUUCAAGCACAACAAAGAUUUGGAAAAAGAGAACAAAAACUCAGAAAAAUUUGAAGUAACCAAAAUCACUUGGAGAAUCUAUGUGUGAAAACAAGAAGAAACUUGGGAGGUAGAAACCCAAUAAGAUACGGGAAUUUUAGUAAAACCCAAACAAGUAAACAGAAAAUUAAGAAAACCCCAACAAGGAUAAACCUCGCAGCAAGAAAAAAAAGUUGGCGGGAUGGGAGAGAAGGAAGUGUUUAGGAGUUUUCAAGCAGAGAAAAAAUGGUCGUGUGGUGAUCCGAGAGAGAGAGAGAGAGAGAGAGAGAGUGGAGUGGCACCACCACAUCCCACCUCUUGAAGCACCUUCUCAUCCUUCAAAUUCAACCCCACCAUCGCCUCUCCCAACCCGUAGCUCAACUCCACCAGCACAUCCAGGUUCUGAUAGUGAAAAUAACGUGGAAAAGUAUGUAUGCACAUGUAGUGUACAUUGGAAUUUUAAAAAGAUGUAAUUUAACGAAACAAUGAGAUGUGCACGAAAAAUGGAUGUAUUUUUGAAAAAUAUGUACAUACGCGAAUUUACUAACUAUGUUAAUUAGCUUUAAGCCGUUAUCGUUUGAUUUAAAUAAGUCAAGUCUUUUCUUCUCUUACAUGCCCAUUUUUAUUUAUAACCUUUAAAUUGAAUAAAUUAAACAAUAGCAACAAAAAUGAUUAAACUGUUGCGAAUUGUGUGUCUAUUUAGGAAUGUGAUUGUAUAAACUUAAAAGUAGAACCCAAGUAGGAUUUUGAGACCAAAUCUUCAUAGCCUUUGUAUUACUUGGAAGGCAAGAAAGCCUAUCAUGGUUAGUAUAAAUAACGGUACAAGGCCAUAAGGGGAAUACAAUUAUCAUAAACAUGAGCACUUCUCUCUUCCUAUGUAUUCCCACUCUCUCUCACCACUUUCAAAGUUUAUUUCACAACACGUUAUCAGCACAAAGUUUCUCUGCAAGAAAGAGAAGAUCCUAAAGAAAAUCUCACGAAAGCUUUUCACCAUCUUAUAUCAACAUUCAAGUAAUCCUAAACCCUAGUUUAUUUGGUUUCAAUUUAUUUCAUGCCAUGAAUACUAUGAUUAGUGUUCUAUGCUAUAUGCAUGUUAUAUGUUGAUGUACAUGUGUGUGAGCAUAUCAAAAAAUAAAAAAUAAAGAAGAGAAAAGAAAGAAAUUCCAAAACCCUAUACCGCGAAAGUCCCGGUUGGAGUCGAGAACCCAAAACCUCCACCAAGUUUAUAGGUGAAGAUUCGUGCCCCAUGGUCCAUGCCGGCAUAAGUUCCCUCUGCUGUACCAAAUUAAGGUUCCUUUGAGCACCCAUGGCUUGUGCCUUGCCUGGAACCACCUCUCUCAGUUCGAUCAAGGAUGAUAGCGAGGUUUGGAGUCUUUUGGCUCGAUCCCAUAAACCCCAGACGAUGCCUGAUAUGGUGAGUCUAGUAAUUUUGGCGAGAGAGACAUACCAGUGAUUCGGUUGGUGUGUGUCAAAUUGUACAGGCCCAACUUUAGUUGGAAUCUACCAAAAUACCUACUUAGCUUCGGUAAGGGUCUACUGAAGGACACACCCAGUCUCGGCUGGGGUGUAUUGAACAAAGUGUUUUGCUUCGGCUGGAACCUAUGGAAUCACACCCCGAAUUUCGAUUGGGGUGUAUCGAAUCUAUUCAUCUAGCUUCGUGAAGAGUACCGUACAGACCCCGCAUUCGGUUGGACCUUCCGAACCCAUGUUUGGGUUUGUCCACACGUACACAUGUCCCGAUACUUGGGUCCGAGAGGGUCAAACAAACCCUUUGACGAGUCUGGAAGACUCCCACACAUAGUGAUGAAAAUAUUAGCAUAAAAAACGAAGUGAUGAGGAGAAAAGAUGACCUAUGUUUUUAAGAGAAUGAAUGGUUGGAAGUGAUAAUAAUUAGAAGUAUAUAUAUAUAAACCACAAUAAUGGCCAGUAGUAAGAAAGCGGAUUGCGGCUUCCUAAUGAAUAAAAAAAUGUAGGAGAUUCUAGGUACGAUGUUCCGAGCUAGUAAGUCUGCCUGAUUGUGAUCACGGACAUAGUGAAAUUUGUUAGAAAAUAUUAGUAUUUAGGGUUACUUUAAUGUUUGGCUUUCUGGGUUUAGCCCGUUAGCAUUAGGGUUUCGGUUUCAAGUUUAGUUUAUUAUAAAUAACAUGUUUGUUAUUCAAUUGAGAAUAAGUUUGUCACGAUGUAGCAUUUUGAGAUUUUGUAGCCGUUUCUGCAUUCUUGUUUGUUUAAUAAUAUUCUUAUUAUUUUGUAAUCUUGUUCGUCGCGCACCCU
RNAcentral lists this long non-coding RNA (5520 nucleotides) under Malus domestica (apple). Lineage: Eukaryota; Viridiplantae; Streptophyta; Magnoliopsida; Rosales; Rosaceae. The record is from RNAcentral.